ACUUCUCCUCAGCCUUUUGGCUAAGAUCAAGUAUAGUAUCUGUUCUUAUCAGUGUAAUAUUUGAUAUUUCCUCUAUCCAAGGAUAAUAUAUAGAGUGGAUUUUUAGAGCAGGGAGUUGGAAUGGGAGCUUGCCCUGUCCACUACAAACAUUGACCUGGUAUUAUAGUACCUCCAGGAAUCAUGCACCCUCC
Prolemur simus (greater bamboo lemur) is the source of this 191-nucleotide small nuclear RNA. Its record names the gene U2. It matches the Rfam family "U2 spliceosomal RNA". Rfam says of the family: U2 is a small nuclear RNA (snRNA) component of the spliceosome (involved in pre-mRNA splicing). Complementary binding between U2 snRNA (in an area lying towards the 5' end but 3' to hairpin I) and the branchpoint sequence (BPS) of the intron results the bulging out of an unpaired adenosine, on the BPS, which initiates a nucleophilic attack at the intronic 5' splice site, thus starting the first of two transesterification reactions that mediate splicing. The record is from Ensembl. NCBI's taxonomy places the organism in Eukaryota, Metazoa, Chordata, Mammalia, Primates, Lemuridae.